This 468-nucleotide ribosomal RNA is filed under the name uncultured bacterium. RNAcentral describes it as "partial 16S ribosomal RNA". It matches the Rfam family "Bacterial small subunit ribosomal RNA", at positions 28 to 507 of the family's 1533-position model. The record is from RNAcentral.
GACGAACGCUGGCGGCGUGCUUAACACAUGCAAGUCGAACGGAAAGGCGCUGCUCUUGUGGGGUGCUCGAGUGGCGAACGGGUGAGUAAAACGUGAGUAACCUGCCCUUGACUUUGGGAUAACUUCAGGAAACUGGGGCUAAUACCGGGUAGGAGCUCCUGCUGCAUGGUGGGGGUUGGAAAGUUUCGGCGGUUGGGGAUGGACUCGCUGCUUAUGAGCUUCUUGGUGGGGUAGUGGCUUACCAAGGCUUUGACGGGUAGCCGGCCUGAGAGGGUGACCGGCCACAUUGGGACUGAGAUACGGCCCAGACUCCUACGGGAGGCAGCAGUGGGGAAUAUUGCACAAUGGGCGGAAGCCUGAUGCAGCAACGCCGCGUGCGGGAUGACGGCCUUCGGGUUGUAAACCGCUUUCGCCUGUGACGAAGCGUGAGUGACGGUAAUGGGUAAAGAAGCACCGGCUAACUACGUG